Molecule: long non-coding RNA, 541 nt
Filed under: Androctonus crassicauda
Lineage: Eukaryota; Metazoa; Arthropoda; Arachnida; Scorpiones; Buthidae
Source: RNAcentral
AAGCAUGAAGAUGAAAUAAUUGAUAAUAAAUGCAGAGAAGAUGAAAAUACUCAUGUUUGAGAGAAAUAAAGAAUGUACAAGAUGUGAAGUUGAAUUGAAUGGGGAUGAAUUUGGAACAGGUGAAUGAAUUUGUAUAUUUAGGAGUUAUGUUUGAGAGGGAGGGCUGCACUGAUAAGAUUAUGAGAAAAACAAAUGCUGAAUUAAAAGUUGUAGUUGCACUUGAAAGCUAUGUGAAGAAUGAGAAUUUGUCAAGAAAUGCUAAGAUAGCUGUAUACCAGUAUAUGCUUAGUUCCAACAGUAUGGAUAGAAGUGAAAUUUGGGUAUGGAAUGAAAGGCAUAGAAAGCAUUUUAGUGCAGUGAAGAUGAGAGGCUAGAGAAGUAUAGCUGGAUUAAUAAAAUAUGAUUGUAAUUGAAUGAUAAAAUAGAUGUAGUAUGUAAGUUAACUUUGAAAUGAUUUGGUAAUUUAGAGUGAAUGAGUGAAGAGCAAUUAACAAAGCAAGUAUAUAUUGGAAGUGUGGAAAGUAAAUGUGGAAGAGGAAGG